CCAUUUCCAUUUUCAUUUCCCUGAUUGCUAGUGAAGUAUGUCCAGCCUCCCUGGUUCUCACCCACUAUAUGCCAGCAGCACCUUUGAAUCACUACAACCACCAAAAAAGGCCUCCUCUCCACCAGCAAAUUCCUGAAAUGGCACCUCAGAAGAUGGGACUAUCCGUAUUGAAUGACACUGGUCUAGAAGUAGGAGAUUCUAAAUCUAAUCAGGGCCCUGUGUCCCCUCCCACUUUUUCUCCCAGAGAUGGCAUUCUGAGUAUAUGAAGAAAAUUACUGCAUCCUGACAGCAGAUGAACAUUAUUGCAUCCUCACUGCAAGGUUGGUGGCUUCAGC
RNAcentral lists this long non-coding RNA (335 nucleotides) under Homo sapiens (human). Its description in RNAcentral is "non-protein coding lnc-HS3ST3B1-12:1". The record is from RNAcentral. Lineage: Eukaryota; Metazoa; Chordata; Mammalia; Primates; Hominidae.